GAUUCCCUACGGGGUGCAGCAGGCGCGCAAACUUUACAAUGCGAGCAAUCGUGAUAAGGAAACCCUGAGUGCCUGUCGAUGCAGGCUGUUCAUAUAUCUAAAUCAUAUGUGAAGAAAGGGCAGGGCAAGACCGGUGCCAGCCGCCGCGGUAAUACCGGCUGCUCGAGUGAUGGCCACUAUUACUGGGUUUAAAGCGUCCGUAGCUUGACUGUUAGGUCUCUUGGGAAAUCUUCACGCUCAACGUGAAGGCGUCUAAGAGAUACCGGCAGUCUUGGAACUGGGAGAGGUAAACCGUACUUCGGGGGUAGGAGUGAAAUCUUGUAAUCCUCGAGGGACGACCUAUGGCGAAGGCAGUUUACCAGAACAGCUUCGACAGUGAGGGACGAAAGCUGGGGGAGCAAACGGGAUUAGAUACCCCGGUAGUCCCAGCCGUAAACAAUGUGCGUUAGGUGUGUCGGUAACCACGUGUUACUGAUGCGCCGAAGAGAAAUCGUGAAACGCACCACCUGGGAAGUACGGUCGCAAGGCUGAAACUUAAAGGAAUUGGCGGGGGAGCACCACAACAGGUGGAGCCUGCGGUUUAAUUGGAUUCAACGCCGGACAUCUCACCGGAUAAGACAGCUGAAUGAUUGUCAAUCUGAAGGUUUUACAUGACUAGCUGAGAGGAAG
Molecule: ribosomal RNA, 669 nt
Filed under: uncultured archaeon
Lineage: Archaea
Description: bacterial SSU rRNA
Rfam family: Archaeal small subunit ribosomal RNA
Source: RNAcentral